Salmo salar (Atlantic salmon) is the source of this 1697-nucleotide long non-coding RNA. RefSeq lists it as uncharacterized. NCBI's taxonomy places the organism in Eukaryota, Metazoa, Chordata, Actinopteri, Salmoniformes, Salmonidae. The record is from RefSeq and is a predicted model, not a curated record.
CAAAUUUAAUAUUAAUUUGCAAAUAUAACGAGCCUUUCAUGCCAAAUAGUGUCCCCUCUACGUCACAAUGGAAUUCUAUGAGUUGCUAGGGCUGUUGCUAGAGCUUGCAACAGUCUGAUCGGAUUAGGUAAUGAACCAACACAUCAAAAAAAAAUAAUAAUAAAAAAAAAAAAAGGACGGUAUUUUUGACGGUGACAGCCUGUGACUACCUGCUGCUUCAGAAGACAGAAUAGACUGGAAAGAGAACACUUUCUUUACCAUGUAUUUGUCUUUAUAUAAAUACAAAUAGGAAUAAAUAAUCUAAACUGUUUUUAGAUUGACGUUGCUAGCUAUUGUACUUAUAUACCUCAGCCUGCCUAGUUAGCUAGCCAGCUAGCUAGCCAGACAGUUGUGUUUAGCUAACGUUAGCUAGCUAGCAAGCAAACGACUAACUGUUGAUGGAGCUUUCUGUUUGUAUGUAAUAUUAGCUUGCACUUCAAUGGCAUCCCUCGAGGAGAUUUUCGUUUUUCUUUCCAACCAGGCGAAGGAAUAUUACUAUGAAGACAUCACUGAUCUCGACAAGAGGCGUAAUAAUCUGAGAAAUUCACAAUUCAGGGAUGGCCAGCCACACAGGAGGGUGAUUUUUAUCAAGGAGGCCGUGCUGACCGAGAUGCAUGCUGGCCAUUUCGGAGUGAAGUGGAUGAUUGGCAAAAUCAACCUACGCUUCUUCUGACGUGGAAUUGUCAAGGAGGUGGACAGCUGGGCAAGUGAAAUGACCUUUUGUUUAUCAAUCACAUUCUAUUAUAUCUGAAAUUAUGAUUUCAAUGAAUGUCAUGUCGGAGAUAACACAAUAUUUCAAUUUGUCACUUCUUGCUUAAAAGGUCAGUACCAUGUCUAGCCUGACAGAAGUUUGAGAGGGCGAAGACUGUAGCGCCGGAGUUGAAGCCCAUCAAUGUUGUUUCACUAUGGCACAUGAUCGUGGACCUCAUCGGACCCUUCAAGAAAUCCAGGAAUGGCAACAGUUAGUGUCUGACGGCGACCGAUCACUUUACCAAGUGGAUGGAGGCAUUGCCCAUUAAUGUCAGUAAAGAAAGAGACAAGACUAGCAAGGCCACCUCCUCACCUACCCCCCAGGAGGUAUCCCCUCCACCAGAACCAGUGAGUUCAGUUCAGUCUGAUUCUGAGUCGGAAGGGGACCAGCUUGAGGAGCUAGGACCUGCACAACACCCAACACCCAGACGUUAUUAUUGUACCUGAUGUCCUCCAUUACCAACCACCCUCCAGCAACUUUUCAUUACAUCUACAACAACUGUUAUUGUCAUUAUCUGCUAAGAAACUUUUCUUGCUCUAUCAUACCGGGCACAUAAUAUGUGAGAUACAUAGAUAACUAAAAUCACUAGCACUGCAAACACUCAGAACAAAGAGAUCAGCAGUGCCUGGACUUUGCAGUCUCCCUCUUCAAGUCCCCCUUCUGAGACUGGCUGCCUGUUGAGAACAAGUGACCACCUCCUUUAUAUUCCAAACACCAGAAUUCAGUAUUUUAGUCAAUGAUUGCCAUGUGAGUGCACAAAAAAAUCUGUGAAAAUAAAUGAAUGACACAAUUGUACCAAAAAUUCUGAAAGGUUAUGUAUUAAAUUCUUAAAUAUUGCCAGGUUGGUUUUCACAGCUGUUUCACAAGGUGUUCAUUAUUGUAAGGUAUCCUUUGAUUGUAUUUAUUU